This 206-nucleotide unclassified non-coding RNA is filed under the name root metagenome. Its description in RNAcentral is "partial contains small subunit ribosomal RNA, internal transcribed spacer 1, and 5.8S ribosomal RNA". The record is from RNAcentral.
UUUCCGUAGGUGAACCUGCGGAAGGAUCAUUAUCAAAAGUCAAGUCGGGGGCUGUAAAGCUCUCGUCUACACCCAUGUCUUUUGCGUACUCUUGUUUCCUCGGUGGCGCAAGCUGCCGAUUGGACAAACCAAACUUUUUAUUUACAGUCAAACUUGAUUUAUUAUUACAAUAGUCAAAACUUUCAACAACGGAUCUCUUGGUUCUC